CCUACGGGAGGCAGCAGUGAGGAAUAUUGGUCAAUGGCCGUAAGGCUGAACCAGCCAAGUAGCGUGAGGGAAGACUGCCCUAUGGGGUGUAAACCUCUUUUGUCGGGGAGCAAAAGCCGGACGUGGCCGGCUGUGAGAGUACCCGAAGAAAAAGCAGCGGCGAACUCCGUGCCAGCAGCCGCGGUAAUACGUAGGUGGCAAGUGUUAUCCGGAUUUACUGGGGGUAAAGGGCGUGUAGGCGGGAAAGCAAGUCAGAUGUGAAAACCAUGGGCUCAACCUGUGGCCUGCAUUUGAAACUGUUUUUCUUGUGUACUGGAGCGGCAGCCGGACUUCCUAGUGUAGCGGU
This 346-nucleotide ribosomal RNA is filed under the name uncultured bacterium. Its description in RNAcentral is "partial 16S ribosomal RNA". It matches the Rfam family "Bacterial small subunit ribosomal RNA", at positions 338 to 682 of the family's 1533-position model. The record is from RNAcentral.